GAAUUUUGGACAAUGGGCGAAAGCCUGCUCCAGCAAUGCCGCGUGCAGGAUGAAGGCCUUCGGGUUGUAAACUGCUUUUGUACGGAACGAAAAGCUUUGGGUUAAUACCUUGGAGUCAUGACGGUACCGUAAGAACAAGCACCGGCUAACUACGUGCCAACAGCCGCGGUAAUCCGUAGGGUGCAAGCGUUAAUAGGAAUUACGGGGCGUAGAGCGUACGCAGGCGGUUUUGUAAGGCAGAGGUGAAAUCCCCGGGCUCAACCUGGGAACUGCCUUCGUGACUGCAAGGCUAGAGUACGGCAGAGGGGGGUGGAAUUCCGCGUGUAGCAGUGAAAUGCGUAGAUAUGCGGAGGAACACCGAUGGCGAAGGCAACCCCCUGGGCCUGUACUGAAGCUCAUGCACGAAAGCGUGGGGAGCAAACA
RNAcentral lists this ribosomal RNA (423 nucleotides) under uncultured bacterium. RNAcentral describes it as "partial 16S ribosomal RNA". It matches the Rfam family "Bacterial small subunit ribosomal RNA", at positions 359 to 774 of the family's 1533-position model. The record is from RNAcentral.